GGGGCUCCGUGGGUCGCUCCAACCCCUGUGACAUACCACUUGUUGCCUCGGCGGAUCAGCCCGCUCCCGGUAAAACGGGACGGCCCGCCAGAGGACCCCUAAACUCUGUUUCUAUAUGUAACUUCUGAGUAAAACCAUAAAUAAAUCAAAACUUUCAACAACGGAUCUCUUGGUUCUGGCAUCGAUGAAGAACGCAGCAAAAUGCGAUAAGUAAUGUGAAUUGCAGAAUUCAGUGAAUCAUCGAAUCUUUGAACGCACAUUGCGCCCGCCAGUAUUCUGGCGGGCAUGCCUGUUCGAGCGUCAUUUCAACCCUCAAGCACAGCUUGGUGUUGGGACUCGCGUUAAUUCGCGUUCCUCAAAUUGAUUGGCGGUCACGUCGAGCUUCCAUAGCGUAGUAGUAAAACCCUCGUUACUGGUAAUCGUCGCGGCCACGCCGUUAAACCCCAACUUCUGAAUGUUGACCUCGGAUCAGGUAGGAAUACCCGCUGAACUUAAGCAUAUCAAAAGGCGGAGGAGACUUAAUUUCCAAUUUAAAACUCCUAACCGCUAAAUUACAUUGUUGCCGCUAAAAUCCCGCUCCGGUAAAAAGGGAGGCCGCGAGGACCCUAAAUCGUUUUCUAUAUGUACCUUCGGAGAAAAACCAUAAAAUAAAUCAAAACUUUCAACAAGGUAUCUCUUUGGUUCUGGCAUCGAUGAAAGAAAGCAGCAAAAAUGGCGAUAAGUAAUGUGAAUUGCAGAAAAUCGAGAAAUCAUCAAAUCAUUUGAACGCAAAUUGUGUCGGCGCCAAUACAGGUGUGGGUGCCGGUUCAAGCGGGGUUUCAACCCAGAAGGGUGGGG
This 837-nucleotide ribosomal RNA is filed under the name Fusarium oxysporum. RNAcentral describes it as "eukaryotic LSU rRNA". The stretch from base 150 to 303 matches the Rfam family "5.8S ribosomal RNA". The record is from RNAcentral. Lineage: Eukaryota; Fungi; Ascomycota; Sordariomycetes; Hypocreales; Nectriaceae.